CAGUCGCCGCGGUAAUACGUAGGUGGCAAGCGUUGUCCGGAAUUAUUGGGCGUAAAGCGCGCGCAGGCGGAUCAGUCAGUCUGUCUUAAAAGUUCGGGGCUUAACCCCGUGAUGGGAUGGAAACUGCUGAUCUAGAGUAUCGGAGAGGAAAGUGGAAUUCCUAGUGUAGCGGUGAAAUGCGUAGAUAUUAGGAAGAACACCAGUGGCGAAGGCGACUUUCUGGACGAAAACUGACGCUGAGGCGCGAAAGCCAGGGGAGCGAACGGGAUUAGAUACCCCAGUAGUCCCUGUCUCUUAUACA
RNAcentral lists this ribosomal RNA (301 nucleotides) under uncultured bacterium. Its description in RNAcentral is "partial 16S ribosomal RNA". It matches the Rfam family "Bacterial small subunit ribosomal RNA", at positions 509 to 809 of the family's 1533-position model. The record is from RNAcentral.